UGAUUAAGCCAUGCAAGUACUGCACAGGAAUUGGCGGGGGAGCAAGGGAGCAGGAAUUGGCGGGGGAGCAAGGGAGCAGAAAUUGGCGGGGGAGCAAGGCUGAAACUUAAAGGAAUUGGCGGGGGAGCAAGGCUGAAACUUANA
This 144-nucleotide ribosomal RNA is filed under the name uncultured archaeon. RNAcentral describes it as "partial 16S ribosomal RNA". The record is from RNAcentral.